UCCUGCGUUGCUUGCCUAACGUGACGGAAAUUGAUCCCGGAUAAAGUGCUAAUUCUCACCUCUCACCWAUCUGUGGUGUUAGGUUGACGCGGAAGUUUSGCCCAUUGCCCUUGCGUGCUUCGCCCUCUCGCGUUGCAAUCAUGGSCGAUNAGGUUGCUGCUAGUUCCCUCGGAUGCAGAACUUUUUGAUGGGUGCACAGCAUGUGUUGCUGUUGUUUACCCACACAAAGCGUUCAUCGCUUGAUGCGUACGACGGCUGUGCCCGUCUUGGUCCCAUCUUAAACUUGUUUGAGUGGGGCUCAUGCGGUGCCGGCGUCGCGCAUGGAUGCUACCUGGUUGAUCCUGCCAGUAGUCAUAUGCUUGUCUCAA
RNAcentral lists this unclassified non-coding RNA (368 nucleotides) under Chrysophyllum oliviforme. RNAcentral's name for it is "partial contains external transcribed spacer and 18S ribosomal RNA". Lineage: Eukaryota; Viridiplantae; Streptophyta; Magnoliopsida; Ericales; Sapotaceae. The record is from RNAcentral.